GCUUACCAAGCGAUAAGGAAUAUGCUGGUAAGGGGGCUACCACCGUUGCUGAGAAGCUCAGCAGUGGCUAUCUUCUGUAGGCCAUGGCUCAGGUAGGAAAUUUAUUACAAAACUGUUAAUCAUAGAAUGAGGCUGAUAAUACCUGAAAAUAUGGAAACUAGAUUGUAACAUCUAAUUGUCAAAAACAAGGUGAAUCCAGUUCUUGUAAUGAAUAAUUGUGUUUGAGUAGGAGCCAGGAUGGACUGACACUCAGAGAGCUAUUCAGACAGUUAAUAGAGCACAGUAUUCUUGGGUACAGGAUAUGAACAGCUGACCAAAUUAUUGCUUAAUUUAUACACUCAGAAGAAAUAAAGGAAUGAUCAAGAAGCUGAGGGCAGGCAUCUCAAUUAAAAAAAAAAAAAAAAAAACAUGACCCCAUGCCUAAUUUCUGGACCUGAGCCAGUUCUCUAUCUCUGAAUCCAUUUGUUAAAUUAGAGGCUUUGACCCAGCAACAACAUAGCUGGAAUGUAAUGAUUCCUCUAGUCCUUCCUCAAAGGGCCCUCUGACCAUGUAUUAAAGUAAUUGAUAUAGAAAAUGUAGAUCACUAAAAGAUUUUGAUGGGAGUUAGACACAGGGUUUAAGUUACCUGGAAACCUGCUGUGUUUGGAUAACCUUCUUAUUAGUAGGGAAUGUAUCAGGGAUGUGUUGAGUCCUGAGCUGAGUGUGGUGACGCAAUCCCAGUGACUCCAGAGGUUGAAGGAGCCCAGUCACCUAAGUGAGACCACGUCUCAAAAUUAAAAAUGAACAAAUAAAUAGAGCUGGGGAUGUAGUUCAGUGACAAAGCACCCCUCAGUUCAAUCCCCAGACUGCAGAACAAGAAAAAGAAAAAGGAAUUUACUCUGACACUGAGACCCAACAAAUGGUUAUUUUGCAAGUCUUUGAAUGUUCAUUUGUAGUAAACAUAUUUGGUUGUAGAACCUCACUUUGGGGCUUUCUUCUAUGAAGUAAAAGCUAUCAUAGUUGAGGAGGCCAAAUGGAAGCCUCUGAAGCUGUUUCACCACCUGCCAAGUUAUUAAUUGAUUGUAUUAUCUUGUCUUAAGGACAAUGACAGAGGGUAGUGUUGCCCUUAAAAACAUGAAGGAUGUAGAGGCAAUGGUGUAUUUUGUUAUCCCCUGCCCAAUUUUGACAGCAAUAGGACACGUACAGCUGCGAUGGUGG
RNAcentral lists this long non-coding RNA (1197 nucleotides) under Marmota monax (woodchuck). The record is from RNAcentral. Lineage: Eukaryota; Metazoa; Chordata; Mammalia; Rodentia; Sciuridae.